RNAcentral lists this ribosomal RNA (765 nucleotides) under uncultured Streptococcus sp. RNAcentral's name for it is "bacterial SSU rRNA". It matches the Rfam family "Bacterial small subunit ribosomal RNA", at positions 28 to 776 of the family's 1533-position model. Lineage: Bacteria; Bacillati; Bacillota; Bacilli; Lactobacillales; Streptococcaceae. The record is from RNAcentral.
GACGAACGCUGGCGGCGUGCCUAAUACAUGCAAGUAGAACGCUGAAGAGAGGAGCUUGCUCUUCUUGGAUGAGUUGCGAACGGGUGAGUAACGCGUAGGUAACCUGCCUGGUAGCGGGGGAUAACUAUUGGAAACGAUAGCUAAUACCGCAUAAGAGUAGAUGUUGCAUGACAUUUGCUUAAAAGGUGCAAAUGCAUCACUACCAGAUGGACCUGCGUUGUAUUAGCUAGUUGGUGAGGUAACGGCUCACCAAGGCAACGAUACAUAGCCGACCUGAGAGGGUGAUCGGCCACACUGGGACUGAGACACGGCCCAGACUCCUACGGGAGGCAGCAGUAGGGAAUCUUCGGCAAUGGACGGAAGUCUGACCGAGCAACGCCGCGUGAGUGAAGAAGGUUUUCGGAUCGUAAAGCUCUGUUGUAAGAGAAGAACGAGUGUGAGAGUGGAAAGUUCACACUGUGACGGUAUCUUACCAGAAAGGGACGGCUAACUACGUGCCAGCAGCCGCGGUAAUACGUAGGUCCCGAGCGCUGUCCGGAUUUAUUGGGCGUAAAGCGAGCGCAGGCGGUUAGAUAAGUCUGAAGUUAAAGGCUGUGGCUUAACCAUAGUACGCUUUGGAAACUGUUUAACUUGAGUGCAAGAGGGGAGAGUGGAAUUCCAUGUGUAGCGGUGAAAUGCGUAGAUAUAUGGAGGAACACCGGUGGCGAAAGCGGCUCUCUGGCUUGUAACUGACGCUGAGGCUCGAAAGCGUGGGGAGCAAACAGG